AUGCGAAAGCAGUUGAAGACAAACAGAAAGAAGUCUGGAAACAGAAGUCGAGUAGGUUUGUACAGUUCGUAAGAACAUAUUAUGGCCUCGUCAAGCGGUGGAGAGAGCCACUGAGGGAUCGUCAGAUGUACUCAGUCUCUAUACAGCGCAAGACAUGGGUGAUGAAUCUGCUUUUGUUUUGUGAAGUUAUUGUUGAGGGAACUUUCCCUCUUUCAGUAGCGGAUCGAAUCACACGAUUCUAGCCUGAACAGUCUCGUCCUGGACAUCUAGCGAUUCCAUGGGCGAGCAGCGGAGGAUUUGGUGGAUUACUAGCCAAUGGCAAUCCAAACCAAAGAAUCUGAUUCGGGGGAAUGCCUCAUUGGAUAGCCGGUGCCUUUUUUGGGGGUACUGUGAUUCUCUGAGUGUAACCUCCUCUUUGGUUGCUGAUAUUAAACCUGUGCUGUGAAACAUCGGGACAGUGUUUAGUGGAAAGCAACUAGAGGAAUUCAAAGAGUGCUAUGGUAAGGGG
Non-coding RNA from Eremothecium sinecaudum, 508 nucleotides. The record is from RefSeq and is a predicted model, not a curated record. NCBI's taxonomy places the organism in Eukaryota, Fungi, Ascomycota, Saccharomycetes, Saccharomycetales, Saccharomycetaceae.